Quercus lobata is the source of this 776-nucleotide long non-coding RNA. RefSeq lists it as uncharacterized. The record is from RefSeq and is a predicted model, not a curated record. Lineage: Eukaryota; Viridiplantae; Streptophyta; Magnoliopsida; Fagales; Fagaceae. The transcript has 3 exons.
UUUCUUUCUCGCGUUCUUAUCUCUCAAAUUGAAAACCUAGCGGGUGUUCUUCUUCUUCUUUUACUUCAAAACACUAAAAUAUGCAUCUCUGCAAUGCUUGGCUUCUACCACCGAUGGCCGUAGAGAGAAAACCGGAAAAGCACAAGGAUUUGUGGCUGGGGUGGAAUCAUUAUCAAGUUUGUUAUCACCGCUUGUAUCGAGUCCAUUGACUUCUGAGUGGACUAACUCAUCUUUUGUUUAAUUGAGUGUUAGAAUCAAUUCAUAUGUAUUGCUAACAAGUUAAAUUGUUAUUUCAGCAUGGUUCUUACCUAGCAGUGCUCCUUUCAAUUGCAAAGGUUUUAGUAUUGUAUGCACAUCUAUAUGCAUGCAAUAAUUCAGAGGAUGACAUUGAAUCACCAUUGCUAAGUGAGAGUUGAUUGUUUGUACCAAGCUGAUAUAAAUAUUUGGGGUCUCUGCAUAGAGCAAUGUUGUAAUUGUAUUAGAGCAACUAAGCUUCCAAUGUGUUUAUCCCUUAGAAAUUUUUCUUAAACUUUAUGCACCCUUGAGCUACAGAGGAUGACAUUGAAGCUUCACCUCCAAGUGAUAUAGUUAAUUGUUGUUUUUCCAAAGCAUUUUGUAAUAGCUUUUAUAGGCGGUGAUGUUAUAUUUGGCAUCCCUAAAAGUGAUAUGCUUUCAUGCACUCAAUGGAGCUUUAGAUUAAAUGUUAUGGUCUAUCUCAACACCAUGUAAUGAUGCAAGAGUUAUCAGUAGAUUAUUGUAUUGGUUUCUUUAUAUUA